CAUGCUGCAGCACCUCAAUAUCUUUCUUGUAAUGAGGGGCCCAAAACUUAACACAGUACUCAAGGUGCAGCCUCACCAGUGCCGAGUACAGGGGAACAAUCACUUCCCUGCUCCUGCUGGCCACGCUAUUUCUAAUACAGGCCAGGAUGCCAUUGGCCUUCUUGGCCACCUGGGCACACUGCUGACUCAUAUUCAGCUGGCUGUUGACCAACACCCCCAGGUCCUUUUCUGCCAGGCAGCUUUCCAGCCACUCUUCCCCAAGCCUGUAGCAUUGUAUGGGAUUGUUGUGAACGAAGCGCAGGACCUGGCACUUAGCCUUGUUGAACCUCAUACA
Aquila chrysaetos chrysaetos is the source of this 334-nucleotide long non-coding RNA. RefSeq lists it as uncharacterized. The record is from RefSeq and is a predicted model, not a curated record. NCBI's taxonomy places the organism in Eukaryota, Metazoa, Chordata, Aves, Accipitriformes, Accipitridae. The transcript has 3 exons.